AAUGAACGCUGGCGGCAGGCCUAACACAUGCAAGUCGAACGGAUCCUUCGGGAUUAGUGGCGGACGGGUGAGUAACGCGUGGGAACAUACCCAAAGGUACGGAAUAGCCUCGGGAAACUGGGAGUAAUACCGUAUGUGGUCGAGAGACGAAAGAUUUAUCGCCUUUGGAUUGGCCCGCGUUGGAUUAGGUAGUUGGUGGGGUAAUGGCCUACCAAGCCGACGAUCCAUAGCUGGUUUGAGAGGAUGAUCAGCCACACUGGGACUGAGACACGGCCCAGACUCCUACGGGAGGCAGCAGUGGGGAAUCUUAGACAAUGGGGGAAACCCUGAUCUAGCCAUGCCGCGUGAUCGAUGAAGGCCUUAGGGUUGUAAAGAUCUUUCAGAUGGGAAGAUAAUGACGGUACCAUCAGAAGAAGCCCCGGCUAACUCCGUG
RNAcentral lists this ribosomal RNA (433 nucleotides) under uncultured bacterium. RNAcentral describes it as "bacterial SSU rRNA". It matches the Rfam family "Bacterial small subunit ribosomal RNA", at positions 29 to 507 of the family's 1533-position model. The record is from RNAcentral.